AGCCUUUCGGAGCUGUGCGGCGCGCUGAGCAGGAAUGGCAAUGUGGACCUCUGAUGGAACAUCUGGUGGGAUCUCACAGUCAGUUCUGUGGCAAAGGAGGAUGAAGACUUAAAGAGGACUCAACAGGAAGCUGGAUAACAGAAAGAGAGCAAUGUGCUAGAAUAGAAGACCAGAAAAUGAAAGAUAUGAAAAAAAGGUGGAGUUUAAGGCUGGAUAUACAGCUUGAAAAUUACUGUGAUUGCAUGCUUGUUCAUUGGCUGGCUUGCUUGGGUACAAAUGAUGGUUUGAAUAAAGAAAGGUAUGAACGCAUGGGUCACUUCAAGUGAAGGCACUGCAAACACAAUGAUCAGUCAUUCUGGAUUUCUGGUCCUUCUGAAUUUUAAAGGCUGCGGUGACAAGUGGACAUGCAGUGACUACCUUUUGUACCUUCCUGUUUCUGAGGUGCCUGGAUGGAGGUUCAAAUAGAAGAUAGUGUCAGAUAUACAUUGUGUUGUCAAAAUUUUACCAUUAAAGUGCAUUACAACAUG
Molecule: long non-coding RNA, 527 nt
Filed under: Mus caroli (Ryukyu mouse)
Lineage: Eukaryota; Metazoa; Chordata; Mammalia; Rodentia; Muridae
Description: lncRNA (MGP_CAROLIEiJ_G0013259.1)
Source: RNAcentral